AUUGAACGCUGGCGGCAGGCCUAACACAUGCAAGUCGAGCGGAUGAAGGGAGCUUGCUCCUGGAUUCAGCGGCGGACGGGUGAGUAAUGCCUAGGAAUCUGCCUGGUAGUGGGGGAUAACGUCCGGAAACGGGCGCUAAUACCGCAUACGUCCUGAGGGAGAAAGUGGGGGAUCUUCGGACCUCACGCUAUCAGAUGAGCCUAGGUCGGAUUAGCUAGUUGGUGGGGUAAAGGCCUACCAAGGCGACGAUCCGUAACUGGUCUGAGAGGAUGAUCAGUCACACUGGAACUGAGACACGGUCCAGACUCCUACGGGAGGCAGCAGUGGGGAAUGUUGGACGAUGGGCGAAAGCCUGAUCCAGCCAUGCCGCGUGUGUGAAGAAGGUCUUCGGAUUGUAAAGCACUUUAAGUUGGGAGGAAGGGCAGUAAGUUAAUACCUUGCUGUUUUGACGUUACCAACAGAAUAAGCACCGGCUAACUUCGUG
RNAcentral lists this ribosomal RNA (484 nucleotides) under uncultured bacterium. Its description in RNAcentral is "partial 16S ribosomal RNA". It matches the Rfam family "Bacterial small subunit ribosomal RNA", at positions 30 to 507 of the family's 1533-position model. The record is from RNAcentral.